Molecule: ribosomal RNA, 955 nt
Filed under: Staphylococcus aureus
Lineage: Bacteria; Bacillati; Bacillota; Bacilli; Caryophanales; Staphylococcaceae
Description: bacterial SSU rRNA
Rfam family: Bacterial small subunit ribosomal RNA
Source: RNAcentral
AUGCAAGUCGAGCGAACGGACGAGAAGCUUGCUUCUCUGAUGUUAGCGGCGGACGGGUGAGUAACACGUGGAUAACCUACCUAUAAGACUGGGAUAACUUCGGGAAACCGGAGCUAAUACCGGAUAAUAUUUUGAACCGCAUGGUUCAAAAGUGAAAGACGGUCUUGCUGUCACUUAUAGAUGGAUCCGCGCUGCAUUAGCUAGUUGGUAAGGUAACGGCUUACCAAGGCAACGAUGCAUAGCCGACCUGAGAGGGUGAUCGGCCACACUGGAACUGAGACACGGUCCAGACUCCUACGGGAGGCAGCAGUAGGGAAUCUUCCGCAAUGGGCGAAAGCCUGACGGAGCAACGCCGCGUGAGUGAUGAAGGUCUUCGGAUCGUAAAACUCUGUUAUUAGGGAAGAACAUAUGUGUAAGUAACUGUGCACAUCUUGACGGUACCUAAUCAGAAAGCCACGGCUAACUACGUGCCAGCAGCCGCGGUAAUACGUAGGUGGCAAGCGUUAUCCGGAAUUAUUGGGCGUAAAGCGCGCGUAGGCGGUUUUUUAAGUCUGAUGUGAAAGCCCACGGCUCAACCGUGGAGGGUCAUUGGAAACUGGAAAACUUGAGUGCAGAAGAGGAAAGUGGAAUUCCAUGUGUAGCGGUGAAAUGCGCAGAGAUAUGGAGGAACACCAGUGGCGAAGGCGACUUUCUGGUCUGUAACUGACGCUGAUGUGCGAAAGCGUGGGGAUCAAACAGGAUUAGAUACCCUGGUAGUCCACGCCGUAAACGAUGAGUGCUAAGUGUUAGGGGGUUUCCGCCCCUUAGUGCUGCAGCUAACGCAUUAAGCACUCCGCCUGGGGAGUACGACCGCAAGGUUGAAACUCAAAGGAAUUGACGGGGACCCGCACAAGCGGUGGAGCAUGUGGUUUAAUUCGAAGCAACGCGAAGAACCUUACCAAAUCUUGACAUCCUU